Molecule: long non-coding RNA, 794 nt
Filed under: Homo sapiens (human)
Lineage: Eukaryota; Metazoa; Chordata; Mammalia; Primates; Hominidae
Description: TAB2 antisense RNA 1
Source: RNAcentral
CCUGAAAGCCUGGCAGGCCACCCUACUUCAGCUGCAUUCGGUCCAUACACUGAGGGUCUCAGUGGGGAAAAAGCAGAGUCAUUUUAAAGAAACAUGGAUCUUAGUUUCUAGAAGGUUUUUCCCCAUCUGGCAGACAAAUUUAUGCCUAUUCCACACACAGUUCUGGAGGCUGGGAGGUUCAAGAUCAAGAUGCAGGCAGAUUCAUCUCCUGGCCCUCGUGUGUGAUGUUCUCCUCCCUGUAUCCCAGCGGAUUAAGAUGCUCAUUUCUUAAAAUUCAGGGGAAAGAUGGACACUACCGGUUCCGUGGCCCAGGGUUUUGGAAGAGGCGGCCUCCGGAUGACUGGAUGCACUUCUCCCUGGGACUCACCCUGUGUCGUUACAGCUCGAGCUUACUGAAAAUAACAGACAGACACCUCCACUUGUCCCCUCCAACAGAGUGGCUGCACUGGCAGCUCUCUAAUGAGUUCUAACCCCAUAGGGGCAGUUAUGAAACUGAUGCAAAAAGGAUACAAUCAAGAUAGAAGUCAAUAAGGAGCACAGAAGGCAUGAGUAAGACUUGCAUCAGAGAGGCCAAAACCCAAAAUGCGCUGGGGGUUGUGGGAGCGGCUGAAGAGCCUGGAGAAGCCGCUUAUAGUCAUUUUAAGUCAGAUUAAAGGAGUGUGUUUGGCUGACGAGAGGACCCCAUGCUUGCAUGUAUGGAGCCUUAUCUCAGCUUCCAUACCUACAAAGGGGACAUGAUUGGUGUCUACCCCAGAGAGUGGUUUUAAGAAUUAAACAAAAUGACGUGUGUGAAA